CUGAAUAAUACAGUUGGUUUGCUUUGUUUGAUACAACCGCAAUGAAUGCCGGGAAAAGCCCGCGAAUUCAAAUGAAACAAUGAACAGAGAGGCAGAGAAAUCCGUGUAUGGUUCGUUCAUUGAAUAUACAUCCGUCAAUGUUUGGAUUGUGUAAUAAUAAUUUGCAUUGUAUCUUUGAAUAAUGGCUAGCCUAGCGAUCAUCUACGUUCAAUGUUCAUCUAUGUUCAGUUCUUUCUUUGCCGUUGGGCUCACGAGCCGAUCAGUUGAUCGGAACAGCGAAUGUUUGGGAACUGUAGUUCUCUAGUAGUUAAGCGGAACUGGCGGCCGUUUAAUUCAAAAUACAUUUCCCUACAUGCAUCGCGUUGAGCUCAUGAGCCGAACAGCUGAUUUGAGAAGGAGAUGAAAGAUCUAGUGAAACGGAAGGUUUAAUUGUAGUGUUUAUUAUUUUCAACAGAAUAAUGACUGGCAUUCGUAGGUCCCCGGCGGACUUUGCAUCGUCCGGUCAUCCGGAUACGAUUGCUUUGAGGGAUCUGGCCUCCAAGAACUAUCACAUUUGUGUAGAUGACGUCUACACAAAAGAGCAGAAGAUGGAGCACGCCUACACGUUUGGGGUGCUGGUCUGCGACCAGACCAUACGAUACACCGAGAAGGCGAAGCACACCGAGAAUGUGCACAGGCAGCAGCUGGAGUGCCUACGGAGGGAGAACGAACGACUUGGACAGGAUCUCAGGACAUCCCAGGCCAGCUUGUCUGUUACGCAAACAGAUCUGGACGCCACACAGAACGGUAAAAAUGAAGGCAGAUUACCAACCAAAACAACUUAAUUACAUGUGAAGGCAGAUUACCAACCAAAACAACUUAAUUACAUGAAUGCCUUCAGCCAACUCCCAACUACAGAACUCAGACUAACAGACAUAUUUAUAUUAUGCUUAUGUGUUUUAAUUUGGUUGGAGAUUUCAAGGCUUAUGAUUUCACCCACUAUAUUUAUCAACUCAUUUAUUAACCUAGCUUACAUAAUGUGCAUCCCAAUCCAAAUGACGAUUACAAAUGGAACAUUAACAUGACUCUCAUUCCUAUCUAGAACUCGAUGACCUCCGCUGCACGAACGCCUCCCAAGGUAUGACAAUACUUAAUAUUGAUAAACGGCCAUAAUUAUAUUAUGGCUAUGUGAUUUAAUUUGGUUAGAGAUCAAUCCAAAUUACUAAUUAAUAACGUUUGUUUUAAUUCCUAUCUAGAACUGGACUACCUGGACAGCAUGACCGCCUCCCAAGGUAUGACGAUGGACAGCAUGACCGCCUCCCAAGGUAUGAAGAUACAUGGUGUUAAUAUGAAUUUGACAUCAGAUACUGAUUCCUCCCAAUAUGUAUUUGAUUUGUCAUGUAUAACACCUAUUAGCCAAAUGUGAAAAAUAAUGGAAACGAUCUUUCCUCCCAUCAGAUACUGAUUCGUCCCAUCCAUUGUGUUCGACGAUGGUCGAUGACAUGGACGAGAACGGGAACGGAGGUACACCAUCUUUCAAAUGACUUGUGGUUAUAAAAAUACAUGCAUGCUUUAUGUCCAUGUGCUCGGAAAACUGAUACUUUUUUCUUUACAUUUUGCAGAUCCACUACCAGGCCCCUGAAAAAAUACUACCAGGCCCCUGUAAAGUAGUGUAGUUUGAUAUUGUAAAUAGUGUUUUUUUUUUAAUAUAGUGUGACAUUGUAAAUAGUGUGCUUUUUUUUAAACUUCAAUAAAAACUCAAACAUAGUGUGACAUUGUAAAUAGUGUGC
RNAcentral lists this long non-coding RNA (1769 nucleotides) under Gadus morhua (Atlantic cod). Its description in RNAcentral is "lncRNA (ENSGMOG00000034820.1)". The record is from RNAcentral. Lineage: Eukaryota; Metazoa; Chordata; Actinopteri; Gadiformes; Gadidae.